Non-coding RNA from Violaceomyces palustris, 104 nucleotides. NCBI's taxonomy places the organism in Eukaryota, Fungi, Basidiomycota, Ustilaginomycetes, Violaceomycetales, Violaceomycetaceae. The record is from the annotation of a GenBank genome assembly.
GGCACUUUAGCUCAGUUGGUUAGAGCGUUCGCUUAACACUCCUUUCGAGCAGCUCCUGCUCAAAAUCACGCGAAAGGUCCCCGGUUCGAGCCCGGGAGGAGUCA